This 483-nucleotide ribosomal RNA is filed under the name uncultured bacterium. Its description in RNAcentral is "bacterial SSU rRNA". It matches the Rfam family "Bacterial small subunit ribosomal RNA", at positions 29 to 491 of the family's 1533-position model. The record is from RNAcentral.
AACGAACGUUAGCGGCGCGCUUAACACAUGCAAGUCGAACGAGAAAGGGCUUCGGCCCCGGUAAAGUGGCGCACGGGUGAGUAACACGUGGGUAACCUGCCCUCGAGCGGGGGAUAACAUUCCGAAAGGAGUGCUAAUACCGCAUAAGACCACGAUCUCGAAAGAGGACGAGGUAAAAGCUGGCCUCUAUACAUAAGCUAGCACUUGAGGAUGGGCCCGCGGCGCAUCAGGUAGUUGGUGAGGUAAUGGCUCACCAAGCCUAAGACGCGUAGCUGGUCUGAGAGGAUGAUCAGCCACACUGGAACUGAGACACGGUCCAGACUCCUACGGGAGGCAGCAGUGGGGAAUCUUGCGCAAUGGGCGAAAGCCUGACGCAGCGACGCCGCGUGAGUGACGAAGGUCUUCGGGUCGUAAAGCUCUGUGGGGCGAGACGAAUAAGUGCAGCCUAAUACGCUGCAUGAUGACGGUAUCGCCUUAGCAAGC